This 513-nucleotide ribosomal RNA is filed under the name Triticum aestivum (bread wheat). RNAcentral's name for it is "partial small subunit ribosomal RNA". Lineage: Eukaryota; Viridiplantae; Streptophyta; Magnoliopsida; Poales; Poaceae. The record is from RNAcentral.
UUAUGUGUACCGAAGAAGAAAGGGGAAUUGGGAUUUAGAGACCUUCACAGUUUUAACCUUGCUAUGUUAGCAAAACAGUGUUGGCGACUGGUCCAGAACCCUGACUCCUUAUGUGCACGCGUUUUGAGUGAAAAGUAUUAUCUAGACGGCAACAUUUUGAAGGCAGGACCGAAGAAUGGUUCAUCAUACACUUGGCAAAGUAUUGUCGUGGGCAUCCAAGCGUUCCAAAGGGGUUGUAUUUGGCGUGUUGGGUUGGGGUCACAAAUUAAUAUUUGAAGAGAUCCUUGGAUACCAGAAAGUCCUUCAAAGGUAAUCACCCCGAGAGGUGCAUCGAUGCUCGCUUAGGUUGAGGAGCUUAUUAAUCUGCAUGAUGGGCAGUGAGAUGAAGUGUUGAUUAGAGAUAUAUUCUCCCCGGUGGAUACCAAUAGGUUUCUUCAGAUUCCGUUAAAUGUUCAGCUUGUGGAAGACUUUGUUGCUUGGUACUAUGCACGGCCGGGGACGUUCUCAGUCUGA